CAAUAUCCUCAUCUUCCUCUUUACUCUCUUCUUUGUUUUCCCCAUCCUCAAGCCCAUUAAAACUAGAUGUCGAAAACAAACUAUCACCACCCUUCUUACCUGUUUUCGAUGGCUUCUUCUUCCCAGAGAACUCAAUCAAAGGCUCCCCAUUAUCAGACUGUUGCCCAGAAACUAAAUCAUCAACACCUCCAUCAUCCUCAUCACCAAUUGCACCAAAAGGCGAUGUCGUAAAUGCACCACUGCCACCCUUCUUACCAGAUUUUGAUGGCUUUUCUUCCCAGAAAAUGCAAUCACUGUCUCAUCAUCCUUAUCAGACAGCUCUCCAGAAGCCGAACCUCCAACCGCUUCAUCAUCCUCAACUCCAAUAGCAUCAAAUGCUGCAGCACUGAACCCACUUUUACCACCACCCUUUUUUGACUUUGUUGGCUUUUUCUUACCAGUAAAGGCGAUCACAUUCUCCCCAUCAUCCUCACUACCCCGCUCUCACCAUCUCUACCCUGAGUUAAUUCCGAAACCUCAGUUUCACCAUCUUCAUCCCUAACAAUCCAAAGUUCCCAGAACUAAAGACACUGUUGCUCUUAUUGUUCCCACCCUUCUUCGCCUUCCCUUUCUUUUUGCCUGCAAACUGUAUAUCCAGUGCCUAUCAUGCUCUUUGUCAUCAAUUCUCUCCUCCAGCUGGUCAUCAUCAUCGUCAUCUUCUUUUAAUCCUCCUUUCUUUGCAUUCCCCUUCUUACCCUUCUUACCACCACCAACCGUAGCAGUCUUCUCUUCCUGAACAUUACUCUCCUCAGACAACUCUGUCCCAACUGAAUACUCAUCAUCAUCAAUCACUAAAUUCUUCUUCUUAGACUUGCCCCCACCAACGCCACCCUGCGUCGCCCCGGCCACCUCAUCAUCACGAGCACUCGGCUUCUUUCUACCCAUUGAGAGAUAUCGACGAAUACAAAUUCUCUACAAUAUUCUUAACUCUAAUCUAGAAACCUAACUUUAUCUUCAAAAACCCGGAGUCAGAAACCCUAAAAAGCACAAGAUUCAAUCAAAUUAGUCCAUGUUUACGAAAUUUAACAUAAAUACACAAGCUUAACUGAUAAAUUAUAAAUUUUCUACAUAAAAUGUUUCAAAUAACCAACAGUAGAUUAUCAUCAACGAUUUUCUGGCAGAAUCAUAUCAAAAUUAACCUAUAAGAAGUACCUGAACAAUCUAAUACUGAUUCAUAUCAAUCAGAAAUAUUCAGACUGAAAAAUACCUGGAAAAGUUGGCUCCGAUCAGAAUAUUAUCCGAAAGUAAAUACAGAGGCCGAUAAAAGUUAACGGGGGUUCUGUAUCUAAUAUGAUGAAAAGCAAAAUUUAGGGAAGAAGUUUUGGUUGAAAGAUUGAUUUUAGCUGAUGGAGAAAGUAGAAAAUACUAGUACUAUAUAGGCUGCUGGGGAAGAAGCAAGAAGGGAAAUGAGAGAGGCAAAACGAAUUCGUAAAGGGUGUUUUUGGGCCGUGAUGGUUAGGUCCAUUGGAGGAUUGAUGAGAGUCUACUCGGCUCUUAGGGUUGGGUUUUUGUGGAACCCAAAUGAGGAUUUCUCUCUCUCUCUCUCUCUCUCUCUCUCUCGCUCUCUCUUCUCUUUUUUUUCAUUUUGUUUUGUUAUUGUUUUUGGUACAAAACUAUAAUAACGUGAAAGUUGCUUUUUUAUUACCUAUAUAGUAAAAGAGCGAAUGGAAUUGCUAAGGGUUGUGAUUGUUGUGCUGACGUGGCUGGAUUUUAUUCGCUGGCUGGUGGUCGUCACUCACGUGGGAGUCGCGUGCUUUUGCUGGGAGGAGAAGUGCAAUCCUUCUUCUUUGCUGCCUGAGAGAAGAAAACUUGGACAUUUGGUUUUUGAGAAGGAACGUAUCUCUGUAUUGCCAGCUGAGUAAGCUUAUUAUGACGGUUGCUGAUAGUUUGAUUGAUGACAACUGUUGGGUGAUGGCUCAAUGUGGGUUGGUAUGAUUUGACGAUAUUGCCCUUAUUUUAAAAAAGACAGAUGCAUCGUUCUAUCUUGCUGAGCUCCUUCCUCUCUGCGAUUUGGUGUGAAGGAGCUUCAGCUCUGCUCUAGAGAGCUGCCGAAAAAACACUUUUUGUUCUCUCCUUUGAUUGACAAGACUGAAACCCCUUUGUUUCUCCGAUGUAUGCAGUUCAGCUCUGCUUUAGAGAGCUGCCGAAAAAACACUUUUUGCUCUCUCCUUUGAUUGACAAGACUGAAAGCCCUUUGUUUCUCCGAUGUAUCCAGAGGUUUCUAUGUUUCAGGUUUCGCUUCUCCCAGCUUUCGUCAUCAUGCUCCGCGGUAAUUGUGCCUCAUUUUCAUUGUUCUUUUCUGGCCCUCCAGCUGCUUGCUUCCUCAUUCUGAGCUGCUGCCUCGUUUCUUUUUUUCUGCUUUUUCUUUCCUUUGUAACAAUUGCUAUCUUGCUGCCUCCUUGCGUAAGCUUUAAUUCCGCUACUAUUGUUUGGAUUUAACUUCUCCUGCUGUGUUCCCGUUUCCUGUCGUGCUUAUUUUGGUUUUUCCUCACCUGCAAUUUAUGCCAUCCUGAACUGUUACUGUUGCGUUGCCUCUUUGCUUUGCUUUGGCGCUCGUUUUGCUUCUCAAGCGCCCUGCUUAAAUUUACCUUUCUGCCGCAGCCUUUCCCCCUGUGUUUUCCAUUAUCCUCCUGCCAGUGGUUCUUGCAUCAGCCUUUUUUUUUUUUAAACUUUUUGUUCUGCUACUGUUACUACGUGCAGGUUAUCUUGCCCCCCUUCUGUUUUGUGAUUUCCCCCUUUUCCCCUAGCAUUUCUUAUAUUUUUCCCCACUAUACUCUCUGGUGCUUGUUGUCCUGCAUUUACUCUUUGAGUUUUCCAUUCUUCCUCCUGUCGUCAUUUCUUGCGUCGCUGUAUUUUUUCCCCUUUUGUUUUGCUGCUGUUGCUACGUACAAGUUAUCUUGCCCCCCUUCUAUUUAGUGAUUUUCCCCUUUUCCCUUGAAUUUCUAAUAUUUUUACCCACUUUGUUCUCUAAUGCUUGUGUUGCAUUUACUUUUGAUAUUAUAUUUUCUUACCCUUUUUGCUCUCACUGGCUUAUUCAGGUGUUGUCCUCUUCUGUGUUGCUCUGCCGUUGGGUAAUAAAGGCUUGUUAUCUAACGUUAAGGUGCCAUUACUUAUUCUCCCUUCUGUAUGUGCUUUUACCUUGCUUGUACCCAAUGAUCAUUUUGCUACAUGCUUUUGUUACUCGUUUUUAGCUGUUGCCCGCCUUUACUCAGCCUUUUAACUCCUGUUUUCUUAUCUGUUCUGUUCUAUGCUGUUGUGUAAGCAGUUGUGCUUUACCUUUUCUUCACUCUGUUUCUUUUCUAAUAUAUUGGCUGAAUUCUAUGGUGUUGUGUAAGGGCUGUACUUUAGCUUUUCUUUACUCUGUUUGUUUUGAAUGUCUGCUCAGUUCCAUGCUGUUGUGUAAAGGCUGCGCUUGAGCUUUUCUUUCUCUAUUUUUGUUUGGGGGAACCGGCGUUUGGUGCAUGCCUCUCUUAUGCCGUUUCUUUGUGUUUCAAUCUGCUAGACCUUUGGCCUCCUUUGUGCUUAUUGAGUUAGUACUCUGGCCGUGUAUUAGAGGUGUACGUUAGCCUUUCUUUUCACCUGCUAGAAUCUAUAGCGGUCAGAUGGAUAGGAAUGCUUUGCGCCGCAAAAAAUAUACAGAAAUGCCACCUCUGAAGAAAGCGGAACUUCUGCGUUCCCGAAGGCAAACUCGAGCUUCAAAGAAAGCUGGAAAAGCUUUACCCCACGUGUUCGCAGGGUCCCGUUAGGAUAUGUGGAAACUAGUGUGUCGUUCCCAGCUACUCAACAUAUGCCAUGUCAUAGUGAGGAUCCUGCGUUUGUGCAUUCUCAGCCGUUGGAAAACACAAAUGCUGUGUUUCCAGCUGAUGAUGCCUUUGCGAUUAGGGAAGGAUUAGAAUUCAUGUCGCGUUGUCCACCUGGUUCCUUUACUGGUUAUGCUUCCUCCUCCUUUGGAAAAGAAAUGCCUCUACAAAAUACACUUGAUCCUGAAGCUAUACCAGCUUCGUUUAACGUGCAAUCCCUUCAGCCAUUUAACUCCUACUCUGUAGCGCCGUUUAGCACUAUUUGUCUUUCUUAGCUGUCGUUAUUUCCCUUGUAUCUCUCCAGUUACCACUCUCUUUCUUCUUAACUGCAGCAUCCCUGUUCUGUGAUAGCCUUGCACCAGUGAAAUAUCAGAGAUCAUCUGUUGGUGUAGAGGCAAAAAAAAAACCCCGUUCAUAGGGGAAAACAUAGGGGCGUAAACUCCCUUCCAAGUGGAAAUGAACAACCUGUGAACAAUACACAUUCUGAAUUUAUACUAUAUUCAUUUCCUUUCGAUUCAUCUCUUAAGAACCCUGAACUAUCAAUUCAAAAAGAAUUUGCUCCUGCAAGUAAUUCUUUGCCUGCUCAAAUUUCAGAUUCUACUUUAGAACUAGCUUCCAAAGGUACUGCCUUACUUUACCAUAUUCGUUAGCUUGCGAAUCUACUUAACCGCUUUGACCAGCCUAUAAAUAUAAAUAAUCACCUUUAUGGCCUGGUUUUCUGGAACCCUUCUUCCUUUGCUAACUGAUUCUCCUUUAAGGUCCUUAGGCCUGUUUUAGCUAGCUUAUUCUGUUCUGCAAUUUGCAGACAUCUUUCCUGCUCCCACAGAGGAGGUGGCCAGGUCUGGUCCAACACCUGGUUGGUUGGAGAUAAAAAACAGAAAAGUACUUCCUUCUGCCGGUCCAUCUAUUGUCCGUUCUCGCUCCAGAAAACGCAGGACCCUGAAUCUGUGAACAAACACAACUCAGGUUGGGACUUGCGGUGAAGAAUUUCCAGUGUAUCAAGUGGAACUGAAUGCAGGAUUCCAUGGGAUCAGAUUUUCAUGGAAAGGAGCAAAAAACUGUCUUUUGAUUUGAUGGCCAGAUAAUUGAUCCAGAAUAAGAUAAACAACAAAAAGCAAUAAGUCUUUGAAGGAUUUAGAUAUUUUUUAUAUGUAUCUCUACCCUGCAAAUUCAAGACUUGAAGCACAACAGUAUAAAAAUCAUUUGAACCAGACCAAUUCCUGUAACCACCAUGCCAACUUGAGCAAAUAAGUCUUAGAAAAAAGUUCUCAUUGGUUCUGUUCUAAUAAGAUGCAUUACCAAGUUUAUUUCACAUAAUAUCAAAAGGCUUUGCCAAGUGCAAGAAUCCUUUACAAACCAUUAACUUCUCAGUCACUGUCAGCCUUUUUAAAUCUAAACCAGUGCCAGAAUCUAGAAAAUCUAAAAAAUCAAUCAUCAACACCUUUUAAAGAUAGUCAAAGCGGUGAUAUUUAUAAUGUUUGACCAUGCAAGUUAGUAAUAAAGGAAGAGCACUUGGUUUCUGCUUUUGCCUUGCAUGGCUAGAUUUAGCUAACUGCAGGCAGUUACCAUCUUAAUCACCCUCUUCAACUUUCCUUCACAAACCUUCUACUGGAUUUUACUCUUUCCCCUUAAAAUUCUCUGACUAAAAAUUACAAAAAUCCAUUUACAUGAAGACAGGAGCUUUUUCAAUUUCAGUAUGCAGCAAACAAGUGCUUCCAUCUCAUGCUAUAGUGUGUCCCAAAAAAAGUCCUUAUCCAAAUGACCAUUACAAUUUAUGACCACCAUAUUAGUUUGCAGUUUGAUGGCCGUUGAUAGCAUAUAUGUACAAACUACUCAACUACUAAGUUAAUAUUACAAUCCAAAUUCAUCAAGGAAGCACAUGUUCAUCAGAAAACCAAUCUCAAAAUUAGAUAUUGGAAACCUAAAUCCAGGAUAUGUACCUUGAUGGCCACCUUUUGGCCUUUCUUGGCAUAGUCAACAGGUUUAUGGUUGUUCUCAAUGGACGCAAUUCGUCCAAUGUCGAUGAAGUCCUUCUGAGGAAUGCAAAUUGGGGUUCCGAUCUGCAUGCAUUGGAAACUGCCAUCAGAAACCCUCAAAAAGAGAAAAGAUAUAAGCAAGCAAGAAAUCAGAACACAGAAAUAUAAGAUAAUAAUGUCACGUCAAGAAUCAAUAUGCUAAUAAACGCUACAAGAUAACAUGCAUCUUGCAGGAGUGAGCUGAAAAUAGCAAAAUGAGGACAAUAAUGACAAAACCAAACUAUAAAAGCAAAUAACUCUUCAGGAAUAGGAAAAGAUGGUGAAGUCAUGUAUUAUGACAUUUUAACUUAUAAAAGGUACAGAGUGAAUGGUUGAAAGUGGUGCAAAAUCUGACUCUUAAGCAAUAUUCAAGAUGGAAAAGUAACAUAAAUUGACUAACAAAACUUUUAAGAUAUCAUCACAACAAGAAAGAAUCCUAACCAUUUCUUAGAAUCCAAAAUUUCUAGUUUCCUACUCCCUAAAAUCAGCAUCAUGAAAUUGACAACUAGAACAACAAUAAUAAAUCAAUCAACAUGUAACUAAUUUAAGCAAAUCUUUACUAUACUAUGCAAACCAAAAUUAACAAGAAUAAUCAACAAAAUGUCAAUUGAAUAAUUUCACAUCUCCGUUAUUAUUUGGAAUACCAUGUCCCACACUAGCUGUUGAAAAUUAUCUUAAGAAUCACAAAAUUAAUACAAUACCUUUGCAACACCUUCGAGAACAUCCACUCCCAAUACAAUGGGAUCUUUCUUGUUGAAAACACAGUUUGGUAUGAUCUUAAGAACACAGGGGAAUACAGCAUCAUCAGCAGCUUCCUUCUUCUUCUCCUCCUUGAGGUUGUCAAUAUAAGCCUUAAACUGAUCAAAUAGGUGAUAGAUGAUAUCUGCACAGAAUAUCUUGACACCAAGCUCAUCUGCAAGUUCUCGAGCCUCUGGAGUCACCCUAACAUCAAAGGCCAAGAUAGUGGCAUACUCUUUCUUCUUCUCGAGCAUCACGCUUGCCUUCAUGACAUCUUUCUUAUGCACAGGACCAAUGCCUAUACCACUCACAGGUAUAUUGACCACCGGAGUCUUCAAAAACUCCAGUAGUGCUUCUAAUGAACCAAGGGUAGAGGCCUGUACAUAAACUCCCUCACCACUUUUAUCAAUUCUGUUCAUCACUGUCCUCAUAUCCUCCAUAGCUGCUUCCUUAAUAUCUUCUAAAUCAUCAUCAGGACCAACAACAUAUAGCCCAGUGCCAGCAAUAGCAUGCUCAAGACCCUGAAAAGAAAAGAUCAGAAACUAAAACUACCUCUGAAUGGGAAACAAAAAUAUUAUACAACAGGACAGAGAUCUCUUAUGGCAGGGAGCUAACUGUGAAAGGUGAAUCAAGCUUUGUGACACCAGAGGCUACUAGAGAGUGGCCUCCUGAGCUAGUGCCAUUUACCACAAAAAAUUUAGACUUCUUCAAGACAAGUUCGUAGUACACCAGUGCUACUUACCAAGCAACAGAUGAAUUUACAGAGUUGGCUCAUGACAGCCAUGUCAUCAUUUCCAAAGCUAAAAACUAUAGAACCAGGAUUGCAGAAGUCCAACUAAAAUUGAUAUAUGUAGAAUACAUAUGGUGUCCACUGUAGUGGCAAAUUUGUGAACAUGUUGCUCCUUAGCGAUAAAGAAUACAGGUUAACGUCUUACACCAAAUAAAUAAAAAACGCACCUGUGCAGUGAUCUUUAUCCCCUGGGCAGCCUUGAUUUUUUUAUGAUGCACAUAAGUUCCCUGAAUCAGGCAAUCACCAAAUUGUCAGUUUAAGAAUUCAACUGUACAAGCAUAAAAAACCUAAUAUGGGAGAAAAAUGUCUUCAAAAGUGACUAGCUUUCCACUGAAGUAUGCAUGACAAAGAAAAGAGCAAAGAAACAUUAACCCCAAAGUGCCAAAGACAGCUACAGAUUGUCAAGCUCCAAAACCUAAAAAUGCUCACAAAAUUUAUGUGCUUAUUUUGUACUGAUGCAACAGUACAAGUAAAAGCGAAACUUCUUUCACAAAGAAAAAGGUGAGUACAUCAUUUAAGUAAUAAUUGGAUGGAGGAUUUGCUCCAACUAAGAGAUGAUUGCAAAGAAGCACAGAUUAAACGUUUUAACGGACUAGCAGUUCGAAAAAAGUUGGUUUAUCGGCUUUAAGCCAUUAGUUUAAUGGUCUCCAGCAGAUGACUAAAUGACAUACUCAAUCCUUCACUACGUCACAAAAGUAAUGAUAGCUAAUAAAGAAAAACACACUAAAAAAGGAAAUCAUAGUCCCCAAGUUCUGACUGCAUGAGAGAUGGGCAUGAUUGCAGCAGCUAUUCUGCAACUACAAAAGGUACGGUCCCUUGGAAAAGCAAACACAAACAUUUUGUCAUUGAAGAGAUUGAACAAUGUUAUGACCUUAGAUGGCUAAUCCCAUGAAAAUGUAGGAAAAAUUCCCACAGCUUCUUACUUCUCUUCCUCUUGCUCUCUUACACCAACCUCAACUCCUACUACACUCUAAAUCCUCAGAUUAUCAGAGCCAAAAUUUAUAUACUACUAAUUUUCUAAAGAUUCUUCCAACAGGUUCUAAAUCAAAUCAUAUCCACUAUCACUUCCAGGUGCUGCAUCAACCACUACUUAAUUCCAUAACGACUUUACUAAGUUAGCUGCUAAGUCCGCAAAAAGAGCGUUCUUAUUUAUCUUAAGCUACAAAUCCUUUUCCUCAAGCUCAAACACGGAACCAACAAAUAUCGAUCAUUUUGUUAGAGCCAUCACUAAAUCCCCGGAAGGAAAUAUCUUCUUCUUGGCCAAAUAUUCUUCUAUACCUAAACCACAUGACUGAAAACCACAUCAUUUUUCAAGAAAAUCCAAACAGAAAGAUUAAUCUGCAUCGAUAUGAAGAAAUAAAACAAGAGUGCAGAACAAAUUCUAAAAGAAAAUUCAAGCAAUAUGCUAGAUGGUGCCAGGUAAAUGUCAAUGAAAAAUAUAAAAUAGAAGUCCUGUUUAGUAACUCUUCAGAGAUAUUCGAACAUGAUAACACAACCUAUUUUCAUCAUUCACGUGAAAAAUACUUAUUUGACACAAGAAAAAUUCCUGAUCCUAUCUCAUCCUGAUUUUGGGAAGUCCCAACAAGCUUAAAAUAUAUGAAUUGCUCCCUCUUGGGGACAGGAAAAGCAAAAUGUGGAAUCAUAUUAGGUACAAGAAGAUUAUGAUAAAUAAGCCCAGAAAUACUUCUAUGGGAACUCAGUAGUUAAGUCAUUUGACUUCAGGAACAGCCUCCAAAUCUACAUAUUCCAUAACACGUAAGCUAUACUAGUAAAUAUUUGUAAAAUCACUAUUCGUGUUCCCAAUUUUUUAUGGUCCAGACAACAAGCAUUCUACCAACUUCAGCACUUUUUGGUCUUCUGUUCACGUUUUUGCUCCACCCAUCCACAAACUAUGAACUUUUCCUAGGAUAAAUCCAACAUAUCUCCCAACACCACCCAUCGCCUCAUGUUAUUAAGUCAUCUGACUUCAGAACAGCCUCCAAAGUUACAUAUUUUGUGACCCACACGGAAUACUAGUAACAUAUUUGUAAGAUUACUCUUCAUGUUCCAAAACUUUUUAUGAUUCAAACGACAAGCAUAGUGCCUUUAGAUCUUUGGUCCACGUUUAUGCAACCCAUCCGCAAACUAUGAACUUUUCCUAGAACAAAUAGACAUAUCUCCCAACGAAUAGUGAAAUGGGCCAGAGUCCAAAAACAGAAAAAGAUCCUCACAAAAAAAAGGGGUUUUUUUUUUACCUUCACUCGGAGUUCUUUCAUUGGAUGGGGCGUCAAUAGUGCUCGAAUACUGGUGACAAUUGGACCCUAAAAAUGACAACAAGUGUAAGAGCAUUACAGUUAUUUAAGAUCCAAAAGUACCAGGUACCAAUUGAAAGAUUACCUGCAUGCCACAAACAACUAUUUGAUCUCCUUCAUGGAGUACACCAUUAACUAAGACCACAUCAAUUGUUGUCCCAUGUCCUUCAACAACCUUAACCUCCAAAACGGUACACUGCCAACAUGAAAGUCGUAAUUCAGUCAAAAGCAUAUGCUGUUUACAAAUCACAUAAACCAUAUCUUUUCUGCUUUGAACACCAACAAUUAAUUUUUAUUUCACAAGAUCAAAACUUUGAAAGUUUUUACACGGAGGACAUCCCUGAAUACAGCAGGUGUACUAUAGCAACUUCUGAAGGGAUACUAAAGAAAGAAAAUACUAACAAAACGAUACCUGCACUUCAUCCUGAUAAGUUAAUUUCUCAACCAUUGUCUUUUGAGUCCAUUGAACAAGUAAUAAAAGCAAGUCUGGGAUCCCUUCACCACUGUAACAUCAAUAUAACCCAAACCGCACUUAAAGAUUGUACGUGAAAUACACAAAAAAUUCAUAAAUUAAAACAACUUGAACACCAGGGCUGCAACAUCAGUGAAUAACAAACAAAACCUGAUCGCACUAGUAGGCACAAUGCUGAAAGUCUCCCCCAUUUCUUUGUUCUUAUAGUACAAUUCAGUGUUUAUUCCUUGCUCCUUGAACUGGGUAAUAACCUGUAGUGCGUGAAGUAGAAAAUCAUGAAUUAUUAAAGCAAGAAACUCAACAUGUUGAAAAGGAAAUCGAUAUAUUCUAAAACCUGAGUGAGCCUCAUGUUGAAUUCAACUUGAAUAUCUUUUGACUGUUGCUUCAUGGCCUUCAUGAUAGGUGCAUUUCUGCAUGUUUUCCAUCCAUAGAGUCUGUCAACCUUAUUCAGGGCAACAAUAAAUUCUGUAUUCCUCAUCUUCAAAAGAUUGAGUGAUUCGAUAGUUUGUGGCUCCAACCCAUGCAUAAUAUCCACAACGAGAAUAGCAAUAUCACAUAAACCUGAGCCUCGAGAACGCAAGUUGGUGAACGAUUCAUGUCCUGGAGUGUCAAUAACCAAUAAACCUGGGACACUCAGCUUUGCAUCAGCUUUUAGUUCCUUGGUUCUCUCACGUAUAUUCCCUGCUGGGAAAUAUGUUGCACCUAUUUGUUGAGUAAUACCUCCAGCUUCACCUUCCUGAACAUUGGUACCCCGAAUGCAGUCAAGUAACUUAGUUUUGCCAGUAUCAACAUGGCCCAUAAUGCAGCAAAUAGGCGAGCGGAGAUUAUUUUCACCCCGAGUGGGGGGAGCAACUGGUUCUGCAGCAUCCGUUUUAGUAGGAGCUUCUCGUUGCUUCUGUUUUUCGACAACCCCAACCUCAGGAUUCACAGAUUUUAGUGGUGCAGUUGCAGUCUUUGACGCCAAAGGGCGAGACCCUGCAUCAUUUGUAGCAGGCCUUGUGCUCUUUAACUCCUUUUUACCCACAUUUUCAGGCUCGGAAUCAACCUCUUCAUCAGCAAAAGCACUUUUACCAGGCAGUUUAAGAUCAGCAUCAUCCCAACUUUUGGCAUCCCAUUCUUCAUCAUCAUCUUCUUCUUCUACUUCAACCUCAUUCUCCUCCUCAACUUCAACUUCUUGGGGUUUCUCUACUUCCAAAACUUGCACUUCCUCAAACUUUUCUGUUUCCACAGAGUCGACCUCAGAUCCAAUUUCUGAUUCUUUUAUUUCUUGGCUUUCAGCAGCCUCUGCAACAGCCGCACCAUUUGCUUGAGAAGCUGGCUUUGACUUUUUUGUCUGGUACUUGGGCCGUUUCGUAGGCACCCCAACAGCAUCCCCUGUAGGUAAUGGCAAGCCCCCAGCAUUGGCUAGUAUCUGUUUCCUCAUCGCCUCCAAUCUACGAGCUUCUUCCUUCUGUUUACCAGUUAAUAGCUUCCCUUCUUGCUUUUUCUUCAUGAGUUUCUCUUUUUCCCUCUCCUUCUUCAAGCGUUUCUUUUCUUCUGCUAGCCUCUCAAGUUCUUCCUGCCUACGACGCUCCUCUUCUUCUUUUCUUAACUUCUCCUCUUCUUCCCUUUUUUUCCUUUCUUCAGCUUCUUUAAGUCUUGCAAGUCUCUCUUGCAUCUCUCUCACAUGCUUUGGAACUUUCUUGUCCGAAGCUUUACCCUUGGUUUCAUUUUUACUAUCUUCUUGUUUGUCUUCUGUCACAGGUGCAGCUGCAGCUGCUUUUUUCUCGUUCUCCUUUUCCUUCUUCUUCUUCUUCUUCUUUGCUGCUGCAGACUCUGCAGGCCCUCCUUCUUCAGCUUCUUUUUCACCUGCACCAGCAUCAAAAGAGACAUUCUUGAAUAUUUCAUAUUAAGACUGAGACAUGCAUACUCCCCCUACGUAUUUAAUACAGUGGAUCUAGUGCAAUUAUUAAUCCAUUUCUAGGAAUAAAACCAAUUAUUUCCUCAAAAAAGUUAACUUAUUUAGGCACAAUUAUUGUUUUCAUAUCCUCCAGUCAGUCACUUCCCUCAUUGUUAGCCGAAGAACCUUGUCCUGACACAUUUUUCCAACCACCAGGCCUCAGGGAGAACUGAAAAAGUCUUGCCUUCAAAGAUCUCACAUCCUCUACUUCAGCACCCUCAUCACUCCCAUGCAAUACACACAGUGCACAUACAAAUCUCACAAAGUUUGCACCAGUACAUUUCUUUUCACAACUUACAACCUAGACCACCUCACGUAGUAAGCACCCUUCACGUUUUUAACCAAAACAAAUCCAUACGAACAGUCACCAUUUUCAAGAAACAGUAUUCUCAACUCUCAGUUUCACCCUCUAUGCAGAAAUAGUAGAAGCCAGCAGUUACAACCAGAACCAUGUAGAAUGCUACAGAUAUCAGGUAGAACGCAUGUAUAACGUUUGGAUAUCAAACCAACUUUAACCAAACCAGAAAAAAAAUUCUUAAGCAAUAACAUUAAAGAAAUAAACAAACACCACACCAACUUAUUACUUUACUUCCACUUCAGAUACUCCAAAUUUACCCCUAAUAUGUUAAACCCAAGAUAGUCUGACUGAAGCUAGACUCUCAGAUAUGUGCAUUUACAUUGUCAAUUACCAGUAUCUCUUUGCUGUUAAAAUUUUCAAGAAAUAUCAGAAUUUACUAGUAAUGAAGAGCUAAACAAAACCAUGUAAUCCUGUAACUUGGCAGUAUGAUCUUCAAGAAUCUUAAUCUACUAAAAAACUAUCCAUCUCGGAUUCUUACCCUAAUUUACGCUUCUGGUUAAUGAAUUUAAAAUUGAAAAUCCCAUCUUUACUAUACCUAACUUUAGCAUAAGACAUCAUUAAGAUCAUGAAUAAGCAAGAGAUACAUUAAUCAUUUAGCAAUAUGCAAAUAAAUUAAAUGAGUGAAUUUAAAAGAUCAGGAAUUUAAAAAGAAAGGCGAUUUCGUUUCGUAGGAAACAAAAAAUGGGAUGAUUUCAAAGGUGUGGUUUGCAGGAAAAAGCUGGAGAUCAGACUGAACUUUGAAUAAAAAAUUUUCUAUACAUUAAGAACAUGAACGAAAACUAAAAUAGAAUGCAGGCUAGCUCAGUGAUAGCAAAAGAUGAUUAUACAAGUCUCAACUCAAUUUUUGACAUACACAAUUUAGACAAUUGAGGCUUAAAAGCCUGUAGCUAUAUCAAACUGUAAGCUUAUAUUUAAUACCCACUGAGAAUAUUUAGAAUUAUCAUGACCUCAAAAUAAUUGCAUAGCUAUUUAGAUGACUUUCCUUCAAUGCAACUCAACUGGAACCUUAAGUCACAUAGUAUACAUGGAAAGAACUUAAAAAGAAAAGAUUAAAAGUUUGUGAUUAACAAAAUAUGUCAAACUUAAGAUUAUUACAAGGGAACCAUAAAAUUGAAAAAAUGUACACAUAGAUAACUAUUUUGUCUAUGAUAAAGAUAUUGAAACUGACACACACAUGCAAUCAAUCAAUUGAAUGAAUGUGGAGUUGAACAUUCUUUUCAUAUUACAAAUUGACAAGUUCACAAUCAGCAAAUACACAUAUCCUAGUUAGAGUGCAAAGUGAAAAAGUGAAAAGUUAGACAAGUAAGGGAGUAGGAAAAGAAGAGGCAAUUACGGUGGCAAAAUGAAAGCUAAUUGCCCCUGAUAAAAUUCCAUAAGUUUUAAUCCUCUCUUUAUAUCUAUCCUUAUUUUGGUUUUCUUAAAGUACUCAGGAAGUUUAUUCAUACAUAAGAAAACAAUAAAAACUAUACUAUUUACAAGUAUGAUGAUAAGGUAACUGACCUGCACCAUCUUGCUCAAGCUGAGAUUGAACUUUCUCCUCAGCAGUUGGCUCCAGAAGACCAGGUGUAGGAGUGGGAGAAGGUUUUGAUACAGGAGGCGCUUCUCCAAGUUCAGCAAGAAUCUUGUCCAAAUCCUCCUCUUCUUGGGCAGUUCUUCCACUCUUCUUUUUCUUCUUCUUAUUUUUUAAAGUCUCUGCAACAUCUUCAGCUAUCUGCUUUGAACUAGCACUAACGCUAGGCUGAUCAGCCUCAGCUACAACCAAGGACUCAUCCCCAGUUCCAGCAUCAAGUGCACUAAUUGCGCCACUACCCUUCUUUUUAGAUGACUUCUUCUUACCAGAAAACAUAGCAACUGAUGUGUCUAAUUCAUCCAGAGCACUUGUACCAUCUCCUGCUGCUUCAGCUCCUGACUUGGACAUAGAAACUUCUUCAAUGGUAUCUUCAUCAAGAACUGCAGCAUCAAAUGAAUUAGCACUGCUUUUUUUUGAAGACUUGGAAGACUUCUUUUUCUUUCCUGUGAAGGUAAUAGAAGCAAUAUCCUCAUCUUCCUCUUUACUCUCUUCUUUGUUUUCCCCAUCCUCAAGCCCAUUAAAACUAGAUGUCGAAAACAAACUAUCACCACCCUUCUUACCUGUUUUCGAUGGCUUCUUCUUCCCAGAGAACUCAAUCAAAGGCUCCCCAUUAUCAGACUGUUGCCCAGAAACUAAAUCAUCAACACCUCC
Molecule: long non-coding RNA, 14663 nt
Filed under: Coffea arabica (coffee)
Lineage: Eukaryota; Viridiplantae; Streptophyta; Magnoliopsida; Gentianales; Rubiaceae
Description: long non-coding RNA (CARA_LNC007271)
Source: RNAcentral